This 253-nucleotide ribosomal RNA is filed under the name uncultured bacterium. Its description in RNAcentral is "partial 16S ribosomal RNA". It matches the Rfam family "Bacterial small subunit ribosomal RNA", at positions 524 to 776 of the family's 1533-position model. The record is from RNAcentral.
UACGAGGGGGGCUAGCGUUGCUCGGAAUGACUGGGCGUAAAGGGCGCGUAGGCGGCUUGCACAGUCAGGCGUGAAAUUCCUGGGCUCAACCUGGGGACUGCGCUUGAGACGUGUGGGCUUGAGUGGGGAAGAGGGUCGUGGAAUUCCCAGUGUAGAGGUGAAAUUCGUAGAUAUUGGGAAGAACACCGGUGGCGAAGGCGGCGACCUGGUCCUUGACUGACGCUGAGGCGCGAAAGCGUGGGGAGCAAACAGG